GUUCAACUCACCUGGUAGCCACUUCCAGAGCCCCUGGAACUCUGGCCUAAGGCUCUCUGACUCCUUCCCAGAUCUUCUUGGCUUAGCGGCUGAAGACUGACGCUGCCCGAUCGCCUCAGAAGCCCCCGAGACCAUCACGGAUGCCGAGCUUCGGGUAACUCUCACAGUGGAGGCGGUUGCCACAUCACCUUGCUGGAAACCAUUACUUCUGUCAGGUCUCUGGCCUUGUGCUUCAUGAGUUUGUCCCUACAACCUUGAGUCUGGCUGUAAUGCUUUGGCAGCUCUGCAUACUUUGGUGGUCAUUUGAUCUCCCUGAUACAAGUAUUGUCCUGGGUGCUUAACUAACCCUCAUUCUUCAUAUAACUUCACCCACUACAUCUGAUUGACAUGAAGAUCCUGAAUCCACGUAUUGAAAUGCAAUACCUGGAUACUCAACGUGUAUAGAAUAAAAUACUGAAAUUGAUGUAUUUUGGCAUGACUGGCAAGUUGCCCACCUCCUUGGCUCCUGCUACAUCCUACAUUAUAUUUUAAAGUUCUAAGGUGAAGGUGCUGGAGUAGUUACAGAACCCCAUGUACACCACUCUCCUUCCUGGCUCCAAACAUUAGCUCUUCCCUCUCCCUGGGAUGCCCUUCCUAACUUUAUUUAUCUGGACAAAUUAAACAGACACUUUAAGAUUCAGCCUAUAACUCACCAUCAAUGUGAGAUACUCUCUGGUCUUCCUUUCUCUAAAUUCCUCUGGAAAAUUUGGUUACUUUUAUCAUGACAUUUACCAUCUCGAAUGGAAAAAUGUAUCCUGUUUCUAAGAAGUGGUUCCUUAAGCAAGUAAGGACUAUAUCAUACUCAUACUCAUUGUUUCUUUCAUUUCAGUCUCAAGCAAAAUGCCUGGAAGACAUAACAGUCAUUCAAUACAUCCUUGUUGACACAGGAGGUGCUCUGAAUUUUUUUUUUUUUUUUUUUUCUUUUCUGAGAUGGAGUCCCACUCUGUUGCCCAGGCUGGAGUGCAGUGGCGUGAUCUCAGCUCACUGCAAGCUCUGCCUCCUGGGUUCACGCCAUUCUCCUACCCCAGCCUCCUGAGUAGCUGGGACUACAGGCACCUGCCACUGCGCCCAGCUAAUAUUUUUUAUUUUUAUUUUUUUAUUUUUAGUAGAGACAGGGUUUCACCAUGUUAGCCAGGAUGGUCUCAAACUCCUGACCUUGUGAUCCUCCCGCCUCGGCCUCCCAAAGUGCUGGGAUUACAGGCGUGAGCCACCGCGCCAGGCCUGAACAUGUGUUUAACUACUCAGACCUGACCAUGUUUUGAGUCUCUAAUUUGGAGUUUGUUUGUGGUUUUGAGGACUGAGAAGGCUGCCAUGUUACUAAGUUGCCUCCACUUCUUUAGUAUGACAGGAAACAAACUCUACCAAAGAGACUCAGAAUAGACAAGCUUAAGUUUAUUCUACCCACUUUGUUCCUGUUCUACUGCAUAGGAAAUUUUCUCUCCACUAGUUCCCCUGAAAAGUGGUAACUCUCAGUUAUACUUAUGUGUUUCACAUUAUAUUGAAUGCUCUUUUACAUUUACUAAUAUAUCUCCCCUUUUCUUUUGCUCCCCUUUUUUUCCUUUGUUUUAUAGAAUCCAUCAUCACCAUGUCCUCUGUAUUUUCCUAGUGCCUGAAUGCCACCUUUGCCUUCUCAGAACAACCAUUCCUUUUCCAAAACUGUAUAGCUAAAUGUUUUAAAAAACAAAAUGUAAAUGUUUUAAAAAAACAAAAUUGAAGUUGCUGAAAGACUCCCCCUUAUACCUGACUCCAAGAAAAGUGGCGAAUUCAUCUGGGCUUUCACUGUGGCUACAGUGACCUUAAUGGCUUGAAGUGAUUUUCCAGCAUUGUAGCUCAAAAAAGAUCUGUCGCUAGUCCAUUCCAGAGCCCUUUAUAAAAGUGAGCUAUUCAUUAACCCAAAAAAGGAGAAAGACAGAAUAGUUAGAGAAAUCACAUAUUUGACCUAGCAGAAGCUGUCUCUCUGGAAAAUUGCUGAACUAUAUCAGACAAUGUGAAAAUCCAUUCUUAAACCUUAAAAAAUGUCCUUUCUCUGACAUAUUUGCGUAAGACACUUGAGCAAUCCUGUGAAAACUAUCCUCAGUGGUUUCCUAAAGUGUUGAGUGCUGGCAGAAUCAGAGGCCAAUUUCACCCUGUUCACACCUUCUUCCUUAGGUGCCAAUUGCUAUUCCCCAGCCCUGGGUCUCUACCAGGUCUCUUUUGGCAUAUCCCAACCCAUCUGUCAGACACAUCAAUUCUGGGUUGUCUAAGUCUGCUGUUUUAUCCAGGGAUUUAAAAGCAUGUUUUACAUUAACUUAGCUGCCUAAAAUAAAAAUUGAACUUUGUGCUCCCUCUGCCUGGGGGAAUCAGUUUUAUAAUGAGUGAUCACUGUAAAAAAGUUUCACUGUAAAUUCCUGAUUAGAUUGUAUAGUUCCUCCAAUAAAAAGAAAACUCAAAGCAA
This 2473-nucleotide long non-coding RNA is filed under the name Homo sapiens (human). RNAcentral describes it as "HSALNT0386496". The record is from RNAcentral. Lineage: Eukaryota; Metazoa; Chordata; Mammalia; Primates; Hominidae.